UAUUCUGUGCCCCGAGGGUUCUUGUCCACUGAAUAGAAUACAGCUGCCCCCCCCCCCCCCCCAAUAAUGAAGAAUUCGGAAUGAAAACAGGUUUUCAGGCAUUGUUGUUACCCUUGCUCUAUGUAGUGCUGCUCCUGUCGACGUUAGGAAGUACAUUCAUAUUCGAGCAGUUCUUGUGACUCAUGAACCUCAACAAGUAGUUAUAGCGAUCUGGUCUGAACGUGCAUUUUGAUAAACUACACUGUAAGUCAUAUGAUAAUUAAGAAGUAAUAGUGGAGACAAGUGCAGAGAAUGGCAUCAUCUUAAUUAUUACACUAAGUUUACGGGCUUGCAGCAUAGCAGCAGCCUCUCCGGAUAUCACCGGAGAGUCACUGGUGUAUUCUGCAUAGCGAAGCCAUUAUUAACGACAUAUACUAGGCCCUUGUACUGGGAUUUUAAUAGUGGUGACCACAAAAUUUGGAAAAGGCGCCGGCAGAGCCAUUUAAAACGGGCAAAACCUCUUUAAUCAUGGUUCCAAAAGAUAUUUCCAACGCUUAUGACGCUCUUCUACUGGGAUUGCAGCAGAAGCGACCACAAAAUUCGGAAAAGGCAGCAACAGAGUCCUUUAAAACGUACGAAACCCCAAAUGGUACCAAAGGCAUAUUCAUGACGGCUUAUGCUAUGCAUUUCUACCGGGAUUGCGCAAGAGGGGACCGCAAAAUUCGGAUACGGCGGCAUCAAGCCUUUUAAAACGGGCGACACUCCCUGUAUCAUGGAGCGAAAGAAAGAAAGUUAUCAGUGGCUUGUGCAAUGCUAUUCUGCUGGAGUUAUAACACAGGCGAUCGCCAAAUUCGGCAAACGUGGCAGCAGAGCCCUUUUAAACGAGCAAAACCCCUUGUGUCAUGCAGCCAAAGACUUAUUAUCAACAACUUAUACUAUGCCAUUCUAUACUGAGAUCAUAACACAGGCGACCGCAAAUAUAGGAAAAGGAUGCAGCAUAGCCCUUCAAAACGGGCGAGACCCUGCUGCCGAUGACAUGUCAUCAAUGGCUUGUGCUAUGCCCUUCUACUGGGACUGUAAUAGAGGCUACCGCAAAAUACGGAAAAUGCGGCAGCAGAGCCCUUUAAAACAGUCGAUACCCCUUGCAUCGUAGUUCCAAAGUCAUAUACGUAUUCGCAACGGCUUAUGCUAUUGCCAUUCUACUGGAAUUAUAACGGAUGCGGCCGCAAACUCCAUAAAAGCACUUUAAAACGGACCUGUUUAACUGCGGUGGCAGACAUUUUACGCACAUAUAAAGACGCGACGGCUUAUGUUAUGCCCCUCUCCUGUGAUUGCAAACCACCGCAAAAUUUGGAAAAGGCGGCAGCAGGGCUCUUUACAAUGACUCAAAUGAUUUGUAUCACGGUGCCAAAAAGAUACUAUGAAUGGCUUGUACUGGGAUUGUAACAGAGGCUACCGUAACGUUCGGCAGCAGAUCGAGCCCUUUAAAACGUGCGAAGCCCCUCCCAGUCAACACACAUUGUUGGUAGAAUGCAGAAUUAACGUUGAAUAUUGCUGAACAAUGUAGAACGCAAAAUGCGAACAUUGAUUCCGCGCUGACAUUACGUAGUCAAUUCAGCAUGUCAAAUCUUUUACGUGAAUAUAACGUGGAUUUGUUGCACACAAAUUAACAGUAGAUUGUCAUACGUGAAAACAGCGUCGAUAACUGUAAUGGAAAGAAGGACAGACGUCGAAUAUACAACGUUGCUUUUGCGAAAAUUUUGCCUUAUGCCUUUAGCAAAAAGCAUGCUCAAACAAUGAAUCUGCCGCGCAGGCCGUUCAACAACGCUUUACCAUGGUUGCUUUUGCGUGACUCUGCUACUGUUAACAUUGCAAAAGAUCGUACAAAGAAAAUAUUAAUAUGGUAGUAAUUCGAUACGUCGGAAACCUACAGCUGAUGGACAGCCAGUAAGGGCUCACCCAGUAAUCCAGACACGGGUACUUUAUCAAAUUCAGAGCAUCUUCAAAACCCUACCUAUAAUCAAAUUAUACUCAUUUCAAAGAACAAUAAAAGUUUGGGCGUUUGAGCCCCCUUUUCUCCGCCAUCCGCCUUCACCCCAUCUUCUUAACUCUGCCCCCCUGCCAGCUGAGGCCCCCACACCACCGUACCACCGCCAAGGCGUCCGGCCAGCCGGUCACAGGAGAAAUCUGCGCAGAAGGCGUAUUUUUUCGUCAGGCGCAGAAGAGAGAAUCACGUGAUGCCCUCGCCCGUUGCGCCGUUGCAGCGGUUAAUUUCGAACUGUUCGAGACGCCGCUGGAGCAUGGAGCUGAGGAACAUGUCGGCGUCUCGAUAGGAGUGCGGUAAUUUCCAGCGCGAACAGCUCAAGCACAGGUUGAGUGAGUAUCCCUCGUGGGUAACGGAUGCACCACAUGCGGCCACAGUCUAUACAGGUAAACGGGCGUGGUGUCUUUGUUUAUUAGCGUUCGCUUGAGACUCUAUUGUUCUUCCAGUCGAUUCAGCCCACCGAGUUCAUGAAAAUGAAAACGAUCCUGGCUAUGCGUCUAGGCACAUUAGCGUGGUGUGCUACUUUUAGUUUGUGGUCGAUUCACUGCAGUUUUCAUCUUACAUAUUCUUUUAGGACUCGGAAAGUGUCUCUUUGAGCAAGCUUGGAAUCAUUUACCGUCUUUAUGCGCUACAGUGUUCUUUGACGGCGGAACUUCUACUUGGCCGGUGAGUUCCAGCGAUUGGAAAACACGAAGGAACAAUGAAAUCGGUAGCCGUUCAUAAGGCAACAAGGGACCAGAGGCUACAGUUGCGUCGCUAUAGCAGGCAGGACCCGAACUAAUUAUACUGAUGCAACAUCCAAGUGCCUACGUGUACAGAUAAGCAGAGGUCCCAGCUCAACCACAAGCCAAUAGUGCAGAAGAUAAACACGAGGGCUAUAGCAAAUUCAAGUCAACGGUUAUGCCAUAUGUACUUUGGGUAAUAAAGUGAUUCUAUUCCCCAC
Molecule: long non-coding RNA, 2966 nt
Organism: Ornithodoros turicata
Lineage: Eukaryota; Metazoa; Arthropoda; Arachnida; Ixodida; Argasidae
Exons: 3
Source: RefSeq, a predicted model, not a curated record